This 479-nucleotide ribosomal RNA is filed under the name uncultured Planctomycetota bacterium. RNAcentral's name for it is "bacterial SSU rRNA". It matches the Rfam family "Bacterial small subunit ribosomal RNA", at positions 364 to 833 of the family's 1533-position model. The record is from RNAcentral. Lineage: Bacteria; Pseudomonadati; Planctomycetota.
UUUCGCAAUGCCCGAAAGGGUGACGAAGCGACGCCGCGUGUGGGAAGAAGGCCUUCGGGUUGUAAACCACUGUCGGGAGUUAGGAAAUGUAAGGGUGCUAAUAGUAUCCUUGCUUGACUAAGGCUCCGGAGGAAGCCACGGCUAACUCUGUGCCAGCAGCCGCGGUAAUACAGAGGCGGCAAGCGUUGUUCGGAAUUAUUGGGCGUAAAGAGCACGUAGGCGGCCUUGUAAGUCAGUUGUGAAAGCCUUCUGCUUAACGGAAGAACAGCAGCUGAUACUGCAAGGCUAGAGUGCGGAAGGGGAGAGUGGAACUUCUGGUGGAGCGGUGAAAUGCGUAGAUAUCAGAAGGAACACCGGCGGCGAAGGCGACUCUCUGGCCCGUAACUGACGCUGAGUGUGCGAAAGCUAGGGGAGCAAACGGGAUUAGAUACCCCGGUAGUCCUAGCCGUAAACGAUGGGCACUAAGUAGAGGGGUUUUA